This is a long non-coding RNA of Numida meleagris (helmeted guineafowl), 6011 nucleotides long. RefSeq lists it as uncharacterized. NCBI's taxonomy places the organism in Eukaryota, Metazoa, Chordata, Aves, Galliformes, Numididae. The transcript is spliced from 5 exons. The record is from RefSeq and is a predicted model, not a curated record.
GAAUGCGGGUGGAGCGGCACCGCCAUGCCCUGCCUGCCCUGCCCUGCCUCGCCAGCGGCGUGCCCGGCAAAAAAAAAAGAACCCAACCCAGGUGCCCCGCUCCAGGGUGGAGCGCGGGAUGGGGACACGCGCGGCUCGGAGCGCGUUCCCAACCUCGGACGGGCGGAUCCCCGCUCCUCGGCCCGGCUCUCCGCGGGACGCGGCCGCAGUGUUUGCAUCCAGAUGAUGGCUGGAUACAGCAUGGGCCUGGUGAGAGCUAGACAGCAGUACCUCUUACUGGAUUUUGAGUCUGUCCAUUAUUUAAUAUCUAAUAACUUGGAUCCAUCCACAGCUGACAGGUCUUAGUGACCUGCUAGGCUUAGUUGGAUGUAGUAUAUGGUAUUUUCCCAAAGGCAGUCUGUUGCAGUCACUCUAGCAUGAUACCACAGCCAUAUCUUAUCCUAGGCAGUGUGUGCUGGGCAGGACUAAUUGAAAAAGGAAAGCUAUCAGAUGUUUCUGCUUUUGGCGUGCAUUUAAUGUAAAGACUGUGGAACAAAAGGAGACCUUCCUCAGACAUCAUGAAUAAAAGAGAACCACCUUUCAGUGUUGGAAGGUUGCCAUCAGCUGCAAAACGUGUGAUAAAUGGGAUGUGUAAAAUAGUCUUUAUAAUCUCUUCAGGGACUGAUAACUCAGUUCAUACUCCAGUCUGGACAUGAGACUUUCAUGCUGGAGAAGCAGCCCUGUGAGAGAGCAGUGGAGAAGUUAGCCGCAUCUUCCUGAGGAGUUCUGCAGAGGAAGAGCAGUUACAGAGCCUGGUGAGAGAGUUGCAUGGUAACUGCUCAGGUCAAACUGUCUGUUAAUGGUGACAAAGUGGCACGGCACUGUUUGUCAGGACAGAAAAGUAUGGGCUGACCGCCAGUCCUCUUUCUAUCACCGCCUUCAAAAAGUAGUCUGAUCUUAUCUAUUUAUAUACGUUGCUGUGGAGGAAACAAACCAAUUUCAUUUAGUGCAAGGAGAAAUAAAGCUGAAACAAAAGUGUCAGUUUUCUUCUGACAAUAUUCCUGUGCUAUUGUGUCCACACCCUUCCCUCGUGGAGCUGUUGCCAAGUGUUUUGCAACUAUUCGGUGGUUGUUUCUCUGACCUCUGAGCAGGGUGCUUGAAUUUCACUGUACGUGGCACUGAGGAGAGUUGGGGGCUCAGUCGUGCCGUGAGAAUGCUCUACAGUAAGUAUUCUGAUAGGAAUAAUUAUGUACUACUGAGGUGUUUUUUAUUUUUAUUUUCUUUGGCUAGGCAUUCCACUUGUUCAAGAUGCUGAGUGAGGUGUUACAACAGCGUUUGCUGCCCGUUUAUCCCUGCGUGCUGGAGGUGAGAUGGCAGAAGCAAAGCCAGGUGUAGGGAUAGCAGACAGCCGGAUGAGAAGGCUGGACGGGACCAGGUAUGUUGUGUAGUUUUUCGCAGAAUGAAACGUGACUGGGGUUUGGUCUUGAUUUGAGCCUUUGGGCUCCAUAACAAAAUGAGUAUGAAAUAUGAAUAUCUUAGUGCUAAUCUACAGGGUGUUAUUCUACGAGGGGCAAAGUAUGGCUCAGUGGGGGCUGCCAGAUAUGGCGGGUGUGAUGUAUAUUUGUCUCAGGGCUGCCACUGAGAUUCAUUAUUUCCCGCAUUCACUGUCCUUUGUGAUCAAUCUGGAACCUAAAAGGAGCAGCUAAAACCUGUGUACAACUGCACAUGUUAAUUGGAGACAGUAAUUGAAGCUGAGGGACUGUGUGAGUGCAAAAUGAAGCGUCUGUAUGCAUGCAGCAUUGAAGCCUAAUUGAACAGCUUUGCUCGUUAUGCAGAAAUUUUCAGCAUAAUGGAUUUGUUAGAAGAUCAGCUUUAGUAUAGGAAGCUCACAAGCCCCUUUAACUUAGACCCUUUUAUGCAUAUCAGCUCUAUAUUUUAUACAGCAGCAGCAAGGUCAAUGACAGCUGCAUUAAUGCAGCUUUCUGGCCCUCGUGAUACUAGUCACAUAAAAUCCUCGUGCUUUUGUCUUUGCCUACUUACAUGGGUCCCAUUUAGUAAUGUGCAUAGCACUCAGAACUGAAAACCAAUCAGUGUCAAAGACUGAUAGAUGAAUGCUGCUUGGUAGGCACGCUUUGCAAGAGCAUGCUGAUUUCCUGAGAACCAGCUUCAGGGAGCUGCACUGUAUCUGCCGACACUGGCAGCGUGGUUCGUAUGCAAGAGAAACAAGCAGUUCCUUCAAAGGGGAGCAGAGGUGUUGCCGUUAGUUCUUUCCCAAUGAGACUGAGCUUGCUUUGCUUGAAUUCCUUUCUGCUGCUAACAAAAGAGAUAAUUUUGUCCAUCUUGCAGUGCAUUUCUCUUUUAGCCAGAACUAAAUCUUUCUCACUGCUCACCCGUCUGGGAUUCCUGAACCAAUCCAGCAAUUACAGAUGUAGCUAAGGGUACUAGUUAAGUAGUUUGUCACUGCAUGUAAAUGGUGUAAUUUUUAAUACAUUCAUCUCUGAGCAGGUUGUGAGUGUUGGAGAGGUGGAUGUCUGCAUGCUUUUUAUUAUCCAGGAGCACAUGUGACAGGAAGAAGGAAGGAAGUGGCUUUUGUAUUGACUGCUCCCCACCUCUGCCAAAUGUGUUUUUUUUCCCAAUAUUCUGUCCUUGAAACAGCCGUCCCCCGGUCCUGGGGUGAGUGCUCACAAUGUGUGUCUGACCUUGCAGUGAACUGAACCACCUCCUCUUUUCCUUUCAUCUUUUGUGCCAAAUAAAAACAUACUAAGAGCAUUAAUGGGAAUUCUACAACAAUGCUGUCUAAUUGAUAGGUCUUGACCUACUGUUGCAUGAUAUUUUUUCAUACAUCAGUGCUGAUUACCGAGUUCUCUAUUUGACUUUUUUUUCUCUAAGUUCCUAAAGUUAUUAGUAACCCUGCUGUUUCAUACUUUUGUGGCCACAAGUACUCGGAGGAGGAAAUUCUGUGUAUUACGGCAACUGAUAGCCUGUUAGGCUGUGCUUUUUCUCUAACCCAGUUUUUCUUUCUAUCAUUGCAUUUGUAAAUUACAGAUGCUGCUGAGGUAGCUUAAAAACGAAGAUGCAGAUUUUAAUAGACAUGUAAGGCUAUACUUGAGCAUGUCAAAAGAUUGAGCUGGAUGUUAAAGGCUUGUUUUUCCUUUUGCAGGACCUUUUACUUCCAAUGACAAAAUUACUAGACUUGGAGUUGCACUUAACACUGAUUAGAGUGAGAUAAUAAAUACUAGAGGUCAGGGAUAACGAGCACCAUCAAUUACAAGCAGCACCAAAGACAAGUCCUGCCUGACCAACCUUGUGGCCUUCUAUGAUGGCAAAACUGCAUCAGUGGACAAGGGAAGAACCACUGUUGUCAUCCAAGUAAGGCCUUUGACACAGUAGCCCACAACAUCCUUCUGUCCAAAUUGGAAAGAUACAGAUUUGAUGGCUUGUCUAUUUGAUGAAUGAGGAACUGGUUUGCAAGAUCAUACCCAGUGAGUGGUGAUCAGAGAUUGAAGGUCCGGCUGGAUACCACUGAAGAGUAGUUUCCCUCAGGUACCAGUGCUCUUUAAUAUCUUCAUGAACAACAUUGAGAUUGAGUGCACCCUCAGCAAGUUUGUGGAUGACACCAAGCUGUGUGGUGCAGUCAACAUGCCUGAGGGACAGGAUGCCCGAGAGACCUAACAGCUCGAGCAGUGGGCCCAGAUGAACCUCAUGAGGUUCAGUAAAUCCAAGUGCAAGGUCUUGCACCUGGAUUAUGGUAACCUCUACUAUCAAUACAAGCUUGGGGAAGGAAGGAUAGUGAGCACAGCCCUGCGGAAAAGGACCUGGGGGUACCGGUGGAUGGCAAGCUGGAUGUGAGCCAGCAAUGUGUCCUCACAGCCCAGAAAGCCAGCUGUAUCCUGAGCUGCAUCAAAAGAAAUGUAGCCAGUAGGGCAAGCAAGGUGAUCCUGCGCUGGUAAGACCUCACCUGGUGUACUGUGUCCAGAUGUCGAGUCAUCAGUAGAGGAAAGACACGAACCUGUUGGAGCACGUUCAGAGAACGGCCGCAAAAACAAUUCAAGGGAUGGAACUCCUCCCUUAUGAGGACAGGCUGAGAGAGCUGGGGCUGUUCAGCCUGGAAAAGAGAAGGCUUCGGGGAUACCAGAGAGUGGUCUUUCAGUAUCUGAAGGGGAGCUGUAAGAAAGAAGGGGACGGACUGUUCAGCAGGGACUGUGGUGAUAGGUCAAGGCGAAAUAGUUUCAAACUCAAAAGGGGGAGAUUUAGAUUGGACAUAAGGAAAAAGUUUUUUACGAUAAGGGUGGGGAGGCACUGGAACAGGUUCUCCAGAGAAACAGUGAAAGCCCCGUCCCUGGAAACAUUCAAGGUCAGGCUGGACAGGGCUCUGAGCAACCUGAUCUAGCUGUAGAUGUCCCUGCUCACUGCAGGGAGGUUGGACUAGGUGGCCUUUGGAGGUCCCUUCCAACUCAAGCGAUUCUAUGAUCAUUUACUGUGGACAACCUAGGGCACUUUCUGCAAACGUACAUGCAAUAUACAGAGAGAACAUAUGAAAGCAUGCUUAUAAUAAAAGUGGUGUCAGGAGAUUGGAAAAGAAACCCCAGUUCAACCCACUAUAAAAAGUUUUGCAAUUAAAAUUUGGGCCCUGUAAACAAUUCCUUUAUUGAACACUUUUUAGCAAGAAAGCUAAAAUGAAGUCCUUAAUUUUAUUUUUACAUACUCUUUACAUUUAGUUCUAAGUGAUCUUACAGAUGUGAAAGACCCUAAUAGAGAUAUAUACCUCUCUUUGCCUGCUUCUGGUGGUGGACAGAUGUUUUUUUUCCAUCUGUGUUCAGAUGAUAAGCAUUACUAGGACUAAGCCUUCCGUGUUUUGGUCUCAGUAGGGUACUGCCUUUCCAAUUACCCUGUCCUGCUGUUGUAAACUGAUAAACUUACCGCAUCACAUUCCUGCAUUUCCACUAGGGAGUCUGUUACCUGUUCUAACAAAAAUAGGUUAAUUAGUGGCUUUUGGGGUCAAAGAAAUGGCCUUGAUUUGGGAAAUGGAGGAAAAAAAAUGUCUUUCACGCUACCAUUUUUCCUGACAUUACAAUGAGAUAAUGAUUUAUGAGUUUUGACAGUACUUCAUUAAAAAUAGCUGAGCUCCCGUUACCCAUUACUGUCACCUCUGAUUAGUUUGCACGUGGCUAUGACUGUAUUCUUCCUACAUAAUUUAUCUCCUAGAAAAAAAUCACAUCUGUGAAUGGAAAAUAGAACACAUUUUUGUUUGGGAUUUUAACCACCCAGUUAAGGAAGACUCAGAGUUGCCAGUAGAACAAAUUUUGGAAGUGAUAAAAAACUUUUUGUCUUUCUACUUAACAGGAUAUGAGAAGCAGAGAUUGUCUGCUAUUUGCCUACCACGGAGUUUUACACGUUCUUUUGAAACAUUUGGUGCUGGCCACCCCCAUAGCUAGGAAACCAGAUUAAAUAGAUGAUGGGACAAAUCCCACAUUAAAUUCAUUAUUGUUUGAUGCAGGGGGUUCUCAUGAAAUUUAUUGCAUCCUUGCCCUUCCAGCUGGAAAACAGUUGCAGACCAGGCGAGCACGCUCAGGAUGAGAUUUCAGAGAAAAUAAAGCACUGAACUAUUUUUCUGUUAAGUGGUAAACAAGUAAAUGAAAAAAUAUAUGCUCAAGACAUGACUGAGUUGUGAUUUUCACUAGGUAGCCAGACAAAUCAUUUAAGGAUUUAUAAGCUCUUCACCAAUUUUAGUGUGAAAUUCAGAUGAUCGCUGAACAACCCUUACAGGCCUCAUGUAGCUCCAAAGGCUGGCACUGUAGUGACAGCCAGACACCAAUUCAAAGAACUCUCAAUAAAUCCAUGCAAGGUUAAUAUGCUCUGAAGAAAGUGGAAUACAAAUGGCUGCAUUCCAUUGACUGUAAGUAUCAGAUAAUUGGAAAACAUUGACAGGAGUCAAAGGGUCAUAGAAUGGCUUGGGUUGGAAGGGACCCCAAGGAUCAUCAAGUUCCAAUCCCCCUGCUGCAGGCAGUGUUGCCAGCUGCUAGAGCAAGUAC